AGGACGAACGCUGGCGGCGUGCUUAACACAUGCAAGUCAAGGGGGCCCAGCAAUGGGCAACCGGCGAACGGGUGCGUAACACGUGAGCAACCUACCGAAAUGUGGGGGAUAGCCGGCCUAACGGCCGAGUAAUACCGCAUACGCUCUCGAUGAGGCAUUUCAUUGAGAGGAAACCUACGGGACAUUUCGAGGGGCUCGCGGCCUAUCAGCUAGUUGGAGAGGUAACGGCUCACCAAGGCAACGACGGGUAGCUGGUCUGAGAGGAUGGCCAGCCACAUUGGGACUGAGAUACGGCCCAGACUCCUACGGGAGGGCAGCAGUGGGGAAAUCUUGCGCAAUGGCCUAACGGCUGACGCAGCGACGCCGCGUGUAGGAUGAAGCUCUUCGGAGUGUAAACUACUGUUGCCCGGGACGAACAGCUCGAUUAGUCGAGCCUGACGGUACCGGGUGGAGGAAGCACCGGCUAACUCCGCGCCAGCAGCCGCGGUAA
This 490-nucleotide ribosomal RNA is filed under the name uncultured soil bacterium. RNAcentral describes it as "bacterial SSU rRNA". It matches the Rfam family "Bacterial small subunit ribosomal RNA", at positions 26 to 523 of the family's 1533-position model. The record is from RNAcentral.